Molecule: unclassified non-coding RNA, 1720 nt
Filed under: uncultured fungus
Lineage: Eukaryota; Fungi
Description: sequence contains 18S rRNA gene, ITS1, 5.8S rRNA gene, ITS2, 28S rRNA gene
Rfam family: Eukaryotic large subunit ribosomal RNA (bases 690-1720)
Source: RNAcentral
GGUUGGAUCAUUAAUAAAUUUUCGUUUUUCCUCCCUUCUAACCAAGGUCGAGGAAAUUCAACCCAACCCUGUGAAUUGUUUAAUUGUAUUUUUGGGUAAGUUAGGGUUCUCGGACCUUAGUAAUUGGGGUGAAAGGACUUUAGGGUCUUUUUUUUCCACCUUGCCCAUAUUUUAUUUAAGCUCUAGUAGAAUAACUUGUCUUUAAAAACCUUUAAUCUUAACCGAUUAAAUUUCUUAAUUGAAAACAACUUUUGACAACGGAUCUCUAGGCUCUCGCAACGAUGAAGAACGCAGCGAAAUGCGAUAAGUAAUGUGAAUUGCAGAAUUCCGUGAAUCAUUAAAUCUUUGAACGCACAUUGCGCUCAUCGGUAUUCCGAAGAGCAUGUUUGUUUGAGAAUCAGUUUAAUCUAUCAAAAAUUAUUAUUUUUUCUAACCAAAAUUUAAGAAGUUCUUGGAACAUGGGUUACUUUUCUUGGGUUAAACCGGAAAAAGAACUUUAAUGAGAUUCUAUUUUGUCUCGGACCUCGAGUUAAACUCUUGGGUUGGGAAAAAAGCAUGACCAAAAAUGACCUUCGGGUUAAUUUUAUAAGUGCCUAUUAACCUUAACCAGUAAGUAGUUUAGCUUAGAACUGAUGUAUAACGAUAGUAAAAUGUAAAGCACGAAGUUUUCUAAUCAAAACUUUAAGACUUGAUCUCAAAUCAAAUAAGACUACCCGCUGAACUUAAGCAUAUCAAUAAGCGGAGGAAAAGAAACUAACAAGGAUUCCCCUAGUAACGGCGAGUGAAGCGGGAAUAGCUCAAAUUUUAAAUCUUUCUGGUCCCCAGAACGAAUUGUAGUUUAAAGCAGUGUUUUCUGAGUCGAACCACGGUCAAGUCCUUUGGGAUGAGGCAUCAUAGAAGGUGAGAAUCCUGUAUGUGCUGUGGGGAUGAUUCUUUACGAUACACUUGCCAAGAGUCGGGUUGUUUGGGAAUGCAGCCCAAAAUGGGUGGUAAAUACCAUCUAAAGCUAAAUAUUGGCGAGAGACCGAUAGCGAACAAGUACCGUGAGGGAAAGAUGAAAAGAACUUUGAAAAGAGAGUUAAAAGUACGUGAAAUUGUCAAAAGGGAAACACUUGAAACCAGUCUUGUGAGUAGAAUCCCAACUAGCCUAACGGUUAGCAUAUGUUUCUACUUGCAGGUCAACAUCAGUUUCAGUUGCUGUACAAGGCUUGUUGAAGGUGACCCCUCGGGGAGUUUAUAGCUUCAGGUGUAUGCAGUGACUGGGAUUGAGGAACGCAGUGCUGUCUUGGAGACCCGAUCGCUAGUUGAUGCUCAUUCCUAGAGAACUUGUUCAUUGGGAGUGGGAUAAGGCUAAUCGGUUGGUUUAUCACACCAGUGCUUAGGAUGUUGACAAAAUGGUUUUAAAUGACCCGUCUUGAAACACGGACCAAGGAGUCCUAACACAUAUGCGAGUAUUUGGGUGGAAAACCCGGGAUGCGCAAUGAAAGUAUUAAGGUGGGACCCCGUAAGGGUGCACCAUCGACCGGUCUGGAUAUUUAUUGAUAGAUCUGAGUAAGAGCAUAUUUGUUAGGACCCGAAAGAUGGUGAACUAUGCCUGAAUAGGGCGGAAGCCAGAGGAAACUCUGGUGGAGGCUCGUAGCGAUUCUGACGUGCAAAUCGAUCGUCAAAUUUGGGUAUAGGGGCGAAAGACUAAUCGAACCAUCUAGUAGCUGGUUCCCUC